GGUGUAGACGGUUACUUAAGUCGGUUGUUAAAUCUCCUGACUCAAUUAGGAGGGGACAAUCGAUACUGAGCGACUUGAGGGCAGCAGAAGAAAGUGGAAUUCCCGGUGUAGCGGUGAUAUGCGUAGAUAUCGGGAGGAACACCAGUGGCGAAGGCGGCUUUCUAGGCUGUUCCUGACGUUGAGGCCCAAAAGCGUGGGAAGCGAAACGGAUUAGAUACCCGUGUAGUCCACGCCCUAAACUUUGGACACUAGGUAUGGUGAGUAUCGACCCUCUUCGUGCCGAAGCUAACGCUUUAAGUGUCCCGCCUGGGGACUACGGCCGCAAGGCUAAA
Molecule: ribosomal RNA, 332 nt
Filed under: uncultured bacterium
Lineage: Bacteria
Description: bacterial SSU rRNA
Rfam family: Bacterial small subunit ribosomal RNA
Source: RNAcentral